CCCUUAGACGUUCUGGGCCGCACGCGCGCUACACUGACCAGUGCAACAAGCAUCCGUCCUUGGCCGACAGGCCCGGGCAAUCUUUGAACGCUGGUCGUGAUGGGGAUAGACUUUUGCAAUUUUUGGUCUUCAACGAGGAAUUCCUAGUAAACGCAAGUCAUCAACUUGCUUUGAUUACGUCCCUGCCCUUUGUACACACCGCCCGUCGCACCUACCGAUUGAAUGGUCCGGUGAAGCCUCCGGAUUGGCGCGCACCUCGGUGCCGCCGAGAAGUUGGCUAAACCUUACCAUUUAGAGGAAGGUGAAGUCGUAACA
Molecule: ribosomal RNA, 315 nt
Filed under: uncultured eukaryote
Lineage: Eukaryota
Description: partial 18S ribosomal RNA
Rfam family: Eukaryotic small subunit ribosomal RNA
Source: RNAcentral